GGUUUUUUGUGCUUUAAUAAAAAAUCUGGCCUGCCCAAUGGGGGUGGUUGAAUGGCCGCGGUAUUUUGACCGUGCUAAGGUAGCGUAAUAAUUAGUCUUGUAAUUUGGGACUGGAAUGAAAGGUUGGACGAGGGAAGUUCUGUUUCUAAAGAAGGAGGAUUGAAAUUAGUGUUGUUGUGAAAAGGCAACGGAGAGACUGAGGGACGAGAAGACCCUAUUAAGUUUUAUAGGAUUGAUUUUGGAUUUUUUAUUUGAGGGGAUUUGAUUGAUUUGGUCUUGUUUUGCUGGGGUGGUGUUGAUUAGAUAAAAUCUUUGUGAUUAGUUGUGAGGGUAAAAAACUAUGAGCCAAAAAAUUGGUUUUGAUAUUUGGAUUAAAUUACUAUAGGGAUAACAGCGUAAUAUUGUUGGAGAGUUCAUAUUGAUAACAAAUUUUGCGACCUCGAUGUUGAAUUAAAAUACCUAUUUGGUGUAGGGGCUGAAGUAAGGUGGUCUGUUCGACCGUUAAAUUUUUACA
RNAcentral lists this ribosomal RNA (514 nucleotides) under Paraphrynus aztecus. RNAcentral describes it as "partial large subunit ribosomal RNA". It matches the Rfam family "Bacterial large subunit ribosomal RNA", at positions 1819 to 2600 of the family's 2925-position model. Lineage: Eukaryota; Metazoa; Arthropoda; Arachnida; Amblypygi; Phrynidae. The record is from RNAcentral.